Molecule: ribosomal RNA, 245 nt
Filed under: Trypanosoma copemani
Lineage: Eukaryota; Euglenozoa; Kinetoplastea; Trypanosomatida; Trypanosomatidae
Description: partial small subunit ribosomal RNA
Rfam family: Eukaryotic small subunit ribosomal RNA
Source: RNAcentral
CCUGAGAAAUAGCUACCACUUCUACGGAGGGCAGCAGGCGCGCAAAUUGCCCAAUGUCAAAAAAAAACGAUGAGGCAGCGAAAAGAAAUAGAGCCGGCAGUGCCAAUGGCAUUGCCGUUUUCAAUGGGGGAUAUCUAAACCCAUCCAAAAUCGAGUAUCAAUUGGAGGACAAGUCUGGUGCCAGCACCCGCGGUAAUUCCAGCUCCAAAAGCGUAUAUUAAUGCUGUUGCUGUUAAAGGNUUCGA